Molecule: ribosomal RNA, 589 nt
Filed under: Pseudo-nitzschia pungens
Lineage: Eukaryota; Bacillariophyta; Bacillariophyceae; Bacillariales; Bacillariaceae
Description: partial Bacterial large subunit ribosomal RNA
Rfam family: Bacterial large subunit ribosomal RNA
Source: RNAcentral
UCUGUGAAGCCGGCGCGUGAGCGAUCCGGUGGAGAGAUCACUAGUGAGAAUGAUGACAUGAGUAGCGACAAAGAGUGUGAGAGACACUCUCGCCGAAAAUCCAAGGGUUCCUGCUUAAAGCUAAUCUGAGCAGGGUAAGCCGACCCCUAAGGCGAGGCCGAAAGGCGUAGUCGAUGGGAACCAGGUUAAUAUUCCUGGGCCAGAUGGAAGUGACGGAUCUCGAGGGUAGUUCAUCCUUAUCGGAUUGAAUGGGCUGCUUAGAGGUCCCUGGAAAUAGCUCCAUCGCGAGAUCGUACCCUAAACCGACACAGGUGGAUAGGUAGAGAAUACCAAGGCGCUUGAGAGAACUAUGUUGAAGGAACUCGGCAAAAUACCUCCGUAAGUUCGCGAGAAGGAGGCCCGGUUCCUAGGCAACUAGGGGCUGGGGGCACAAACCAGGGGGUGGCGACUGUUUAUUAAAAACACAGGGCUCUGCGAAGUCGUAAGACGACGUAUAGGGUCUGACGCCUGCCCGGUGCCUGAAGGUUAAAAGGAGGAGUGAGAGCUCUGAAUUGAAGCCCAGGUAAACGGCGGCCGUAACAAUAACGGU